GAUGAACGCUGGCGGCGUGCUUAACACAUGCAAGUCGAACGGAAAGGCCACAGCUUGCUGUGGUACUCGAGUGGCGAACGGGUGAGUAACACGUGGGUGAUCUGCCCUGGACUGUGGGAUAAGGUUGGGAAACUGGGUCUAAUACCGGAUAGGAAUCACAUGUGGGUGUGUGGUUGGAAAGCUUUUGCGGUAUGGGAGGAGUUCGCGGCCUAUCAGCUUGUUGGUGGGGUAAUGGCCUACCAAGGCGUCGACGGGUAGCCGGCCUGAGAGGGUGUACGGCCACAUUGGGACUGAGAUACGACCCAGACUCCUACGGGAGGCAGCAGUGGGGAAUAUUGCACAAUGGGCGCAAGCCUGAUGCAGCGACGCCGCGUGGGGGAUGACGGCCUUCGGGUUGUAAACUCCUUUCGUCAGGGACGAAGCGAAAGUGACGGUACCUGGAUAAUAAGCACCGGCUAACUACGUG
RNAcentral lists this ribosomal RNA (466 nucleotides) under uncultured bacterium. RNAcentral describes it as "partial 16S ribosomal RNA". It matches the Rfam family "Bacterial small subunit ribosomal RNA", at positions 28 to 507 of the family's 1533-position model. The record is from RNAcentral.